This 418-nucleotide RNase P RNA is filed under the name Methylotenera sp. Its description in RNAcentral is "RNase P RNA component class A". It matches the Rfam family "Bacterial RNase P class A". Rfam says of the family: Ribonuclease P (RNase P) is a ubiquitous endoribonuclease, found in archaea, bacteria and eukarya as well as chloroplasts and mitochondria. Its best characterised activity is the generation of mature 5'-ends of tRNAs by cleaving the 5'-leader elements of precursor-tRNAs. Lineage: Bacteria; Pseudomonadati; Pseudomonadota; Betaproteobacteria; Nitrosomonadales; Methylophilaceae. The record is from RNAcentral.
GAAGCUGGCUAGACAGUCGCCGUUCGCAUUUAACUUGUCAGUUUACUGACUUAGUUAAAUGGCGAAGCCCCUCGCGGGCUUACGCAACGAAGGGAGGAAAGUCCGGGCUGCAUAGAGCAAGAUGACGGCUAACGGCCGUACGCUGAAAUCUUUCUGGCGAAAGCUGGGAAUUAUAAGGCGCGGAAUAGGGCCACAGAGACGAGCGUAUUAAGUUACGGUGAAACGCGGUAACCUCCAUCUGCAGCAAUAUCAAAUAGGCUGGCACUUUUAUUUGUGUGAAGGUACGCAAGUAAAUAAGGCGUGGCUCGCGCUGCCAGCGGGUAGAUAGCUCGAGCGCACAAGCAAUUGUACGCCUAGAUGAAUGACUGUCACCUUAGCAAUAAGGCUACAGAACCCGGCUUACCGGCCAGCUUCACUU